AGAACACAAUUUGCAUGAUUUUCUCGUUUGCACUUUUCAUUAUCAUUUUUCGGCAUGGAACACUCCAUUCUAUAGCGGAAGUGUAGAGGGAUGAUGUAACAAAAAAUAAAAGUAUCCCAGGACGACUAGCAACUGUGUAACGAAACGAAAUUCCAAACGACACUGCAUCCACCUCUAGAAAAUGUAUGCGAAACGAAUUUUCCUCUUUCCUAGAACGAAAGCGAUGAAAGCGGUUUGUGGGCGUGGGUUUUCUCCUAAACUUAGCUUUUAAGGUCGGUAAGUAGUAGCGAGUAGCGAAUUUCAUGUUGUUUCGUUUACUUUUUUUUCUCCAUCUCGUUUUAUGGCACUCAACAACAACCGCAACAAAAAAAAUCCAUUUUUAUUUACCCCAUUCUGCUCGAAUCGCAUUCCACAAAACCACGAAAACGCCUGCAAUCACACUAUCAAACAAUCGAAACCACACACGCACACACACGAAACCAAUAAAAAUCCCACUAUCGCUAUCAAUGUCGAAUCGUAAAUCUGUAACACACAAACAACCACACCCAUUUCCACCAACCGCCAUUCGCCAAACCAAUGUGAUCGUAACCAAUUCGCUCGUUCGUAACGUGGAAAUCGAUGUGCGUAUGUGUGUGUGUACGUGGUUGUGUGUUGUCUAUAUUGGAACUGGGACCCAAUAAAACCAACAAAAAAAACAUCAAAACGCCAGUUGCCCCAAUGGGUAUCGGAAAUCCGGAGCCCAGUGCGUCAACAGCAACGAGUGUCUGUGGCAUCCGUGCCAGAAUGGUGGCCGCUGCCGGGAUCAUCAUCCGCCGAAGCGAUUCGAGUGCGUCUGUCCCCUGGGCUAUACCGGGAUGCACUGCGAGCUGGAGCUGCUCGCAUCCGGGGUGUUGACGCCGUCCAAGGAUUUCAUCAUCGCACUGAUCGCCUGCGUCAGUACCCUGAUCCGGUGCAGAAUAAUCCAAGCGUGAUUCCCAAAACAUUCUUGCUAACCAAAGCAAUGGUUGGGCAUCUUUCCCCGUAGGAAAAAAUCUAUAUGAAGGAUGUAACCAGAGUUUUCAAUUUAAAAAAAUGUCUUAUCAAUAAGGUAGAUAUUAUUUCCGGAUGGAGCAGAACUCAGAAUAAUCUCGGAGCAAGAGCUGGAAGAUAUUUAUGCACCCCAAAGCCCUCUUGCAAUAACCAUCCGGUGCAACGGCACGUUCGAUUAGUUUCCGGAUAAUCCCUCGGAACUUAAGCAACAUUUAAGUUGAUUAUGCAGAACCAUUUUAAACAAUUUGAAAGAACAUCCAUACUUUCAGAUUUUGACAUUUAUUGAAUCUUAGUUUUAAUCUUGUUAUUAUGCUAUGAACAUCCCUAAUUCUGAUAUAUGUAUGUAAGCCGUUCAAAUGGUGAAGUUUUUUUUUUAAUAAUAUUGGAAAGAAAAAUAAUAAGUUCCAAUCGACCGCUAGGCCUAGAUUAUUUAGAUUUUUUCAGAUAUAAAUGGUUUUAUAAUAAAAACGAACAUCUAGAUAAAAACGCAUUUUGUCUGCAUUUAUGUCUGCCUGUUUUUCUGUUCCAUAUAGACUCGGAAGCUGCUGAACCGAUUUGCGUGAAACUUUUGGAUACCGCUUCUUCUUACUGAGAGGAGAAAAAGAAACAUGUUUGCAGUUACUUUGGCAUUUUUCCAUUUAGUUUGGAAAACAAUCCAAGAGAAAACAUGCAUUAAAAAUAUUCACUAAAAUGUUUAGAGUGCCUUCAGAAAACUUCUUAUAAAGAAUGUAAAAAAUACCAUCUUCCCCUGGAGCUUUCAAAUUUUUAAAUUUUAUGAAAAUCAAAUUAAGUUCAUCAAUAUUCGUUUCGCAAGAGCUUCCAAAUACAUUUUGCUUAGAAACAAUAUAAUAAAAUUCAAGGGAAAUUUGAACAUCAAUUGGACCUAAAACAUUAAAAUUCAAAUCAUGAGCAGACUCAUAUUGUUGGGCAAAUUUUUGAUCUUUUUCUACGUUAGUUCAAGGUUAGUUAGGGUUUCGUUAUGAAUAAAAUUUAUAGGUCGGAAUGAAUAAAUUUCAAAUAAGGAUCUCUUCGUUGAAAAUAGCGUCGACGAAUGUUUUUCAGUCAUUUAAAAACUGAAGAUCAUCAUCGAUCAAAGGUUGAUUAAUUUAUGUUUAAAUUUGGGUAUGGAAGCGGCUUUAGCAUUGACUAUUGAAGUUGUCAAAUUUUCUACAGUCAAAUCAAUAUCUUCUAUUACAUUAAGUGGAACGUUUACAUCCAAAUUACGUUCAAUAAAAUUCCUAUAUCGCUCCCAGUCAGCUUUUUGAAAGUUAAAAGUUGAUUUUAAAGGGUUUUCAAUGGGACUUUGGGAUGAAGAAAAUGUUACUGGAAGGUGGUCUGGAUCGAGGUCCGCAUGAAUAACUAAUUGACUAAAAUGCUCACCUAAUUCCGGAAUCAGUUACAAUUUUUCCCAUAAAAUAUGAUCUU
Uranotaenia lowii is the source of this 2454-nucleotide long non-coding RNA. RefSeq lists it as uncharacterized. The record is from RefSeq and is a predicted model, not a curated record. Lineage: Eukaryota; Metazoa; Arthropoda; Insecta; Diptera; Culicidae. The transcript is spliced from 3 exons.